This is a non-coding RNA of Bos taurus (domestic cattle), 73 nucleotides long. Lineage: Eukaryota; Metazoa; Chordata; Mammalia; Artiodactyla; Bovidae. The record is from Rfam.
UCCCUGGUGGUCCAGUGGUUACGACUCUGCACUUCCAUCGCAGAGGGUGCAGGUUCCAUCCCUGGUCAGGGAA